This is a long non-coding RNA of Corticium candelabrum, 247 nucleotides long. RefSeq lists it as uncharacterized. Lineage: Eukaryota; Metazoa; Porifera; Homoscleromorpha; Homosclerophorida; Plakinidae. The record is from RefSeq and is a predicted model, not a curated record. The transcript has 3 exons.
CUCUAGAAAGGAUACCUGCAGUAAAGUCGCUUUCAGGUGUUUUACAAGGUCGAUCAAUUGCGAUGAUCCGUGCAGCUGUCAGAGCAAAUUCCCGGUUUGUGGCGCGUGUGGCUAUCAGAUAUGCGACUCGAAUGCUGAGUGUACUGCAGCGCGGCAAUGCAGAUGCAGAAGUGAUUUGGGAUACAGGGGAACUGGAACCUCUUGCCAAUUUGAUCCUUGCACACCCGAGCGAGGCGCAUGCUCGGAC